GAGUUUGAUCGUGGCUCAGAUUGAACGCUGGCGGCAUGCCUUACACAUGCAAGUCGAACGGCAGCACGGGAGCUUGCUCCUGGUGGCGAGUGGCGAACGGGUGAGUAAUGCAUCGGAACGUAUCCUGGAGUGGGGGAUAACGUAGCGAAAGUUACGCUAAUACCGCAUAUUCUGUGAGCAGGAAAGCGGGGGACCUUCGGGCCUCGCGCUCUUGGAGCGGCCGAUGUCGGAUUAGCUAGUUGGUGAGGUAAAGGCUCACCAAGGCGACGAUCCGUAGCAGGUCUGAGAGGAUGAUCUGCCACACUGGAACUGAGACACGGUCCAGACUCCUACGGGAGGCAGCAGUGGGAAUAUUGGACAAUGGGCGAAAGCCUGAUCCAGCCAUGCCGCGUGUGUGAAGAAGGUCUUCGGAUUGUAAAGCACUUUAAGUUGGGAGGAAGGGCAGUAAGUUAAUACCUUGCUGUUUGACGUUACCGACAGAAUAAGCACCGGCUAACU
RNAcentral lists this ribosomal RNA (498 nucleotides) under bacterium enrichment culture clone ALO1_GLFRUDD03GGG0L. Its description in RNAcentral is "bacterial SSU rRNA". It matches the Rfam family "Bacterial small subunit ribosomal RNA", at positions 9 to 502 of the family's 1533-position model. The record is from RNAcentral.